CAGACUGUGAAGUCUCUCUGCUCUUCAAAGAGCAGACUGUUGUUCCCCCCAUCACCCACAAAAGUACAUCGAAGUAUUGUAUCCUCCUUAUGUUCUCCCUGGUGAUCCUCCAAGGAUUUUGAUGUUUAACAUAGACCCUUGUUCAGAGUUGGGAUCUAAAAUCCUCAGUUAUCUGGUGUGUUUGACAGCAAGCAAAAAUCUUUAUAUGCAUUUUGAACUGUCCUGUGGGGCCAUAAGAGUUGCCUCGCUGCUAGGUUGUCUGGAAAACCCAUGAGAGAAUGUUGGCUUUCCUUUCCUUAGGUAUUUCUGGUGUAGUUCUGUUUUCUCCCUUGUAAUCUUGGGGGUUCUUUUCAUAAAGAAUGAAAGUUUCAGCAAUAGAAAUCUUGGCUGAUUGGUAGUGCCAAAAGUUUCUGCUGGAAAUCUUGCAGGGAACCUGCUUAAAUGAUCACACGAUCUUCUGGUUUUGUUUGUUUAUGUUGUUAUUGUUACAGAUAGUACAUUUAUUGCUGAAUAAAAAAUUCUCAUGGGUACAAGGUGCACACUUCUUACAUGAACAGCUUUGGCUGUUCAGUGCACUUGGAUAGUCUGAGGAACAGGAGGAGUACAUGGGAUGGUGCAGAAGCCCCCAGCACUUGCUUCCUGGAGCAUAUGGUGCUUCUGGUCUGCAGGACACGUGUCUGUGUCUGUAAGAACUGAGCUACAAAAUGCAGCCAGUCACUCUGCAUAUGCUGCUGCUUAUGAGCCCUUGCAGUGGUUAAAGAUGGUAUAAUUGGCUGCAGGAAGUAUAAGCCUCUGUCCCAUACAGAAAGAAAAAUUCCUUUAUGCUUAACAAGACUUAAAUCUUUUAUUUCAAGUUGUAGCUGCUACAUUACCCCUGUACAUGCAGCCACUGGAACCACAAAGAGCACACUGAGUAAAGUAUCCAGUGUGGGGAAAACACUGGGAGAUGUGGACAUGGUCUUCAAGCUCCAAAUUUGCCAAAUUGUGUUGUUCAUAACCUGUAAGUUACAGUGCACUGACAAACAAAAAAGCUUUUAUCAGUAUUUGUGUGGUGUGGGAACCAAACAAACCAAUUUUGCAAAUUGUGAUUGCUUAAUUACGUGAUUGGAGGCUAGGCCUGUUGCAAAACAAUUCUAAUUCUGUCCCACAGUGGAAGGUUUAAAAGUCUUUUAAAUGGUUUUACAGCAUUAAAAAUGCACUAAAUAUUUUGUUUAUUGCUGGACACAAUGAAUGACAUGCAUUCUGAGUUGCAUAUCUUCUCAAACAGCAAAGUUUCGGACAGUUUGGUGGACACUUGGGGAAAGGAAAAGAUCCAUGCCCAGUUGCUCAUUUCAUAGCAGUUCCCUCUCCCAAACCAUGUGUCUUCUCAUGGCUGUAUUUUCUGUAUGUAGUGGGAGUCAUUUCUUUCACCUGCUGGUCAGGCUGCUGCUCCUGAACUGCUCACACAUCCACAGCAGUUUGGCUGUCCAGGGAAUUUGGAGGGGGACAGGAAGAAGCAGGAGGCAGUGGCUUUGCUUUGUCCACCACACUGAUCAGAGGUGGGAUCAGAAAAUGCCAUCUUGGAGCAGCUGCCAGUUGCUGCUCUCUCCCCAGAGGUAGAAAAAUGUGAUUUUAUGUAACAGUUUUCUCAAGUUCAUGUGCUACCUUUACUUGAAUAGCAGUUGUCUGUUCCUUUGGCAAAAGAAUAACUUCAGCUGCAGGCUGGGGUUUGUCUGUUGUAACGGAGUUGUAGCUAUGCUGUGAAUCAGUCUCUGAUUCUUUCUGGAUUUGUUAUGAAUAUAUCAGAGUUUGGGCUGGAGAAAUCAGUUUGUUCGGUGUACUGGGGAGCUGAGCUGAUUCCCUGUGCAUCCCUAAAGAAAAAGAUAAAAGAAGGAAGCUUGGUGAAGUUUGCAGGAAGGACAGAUAAGAUGCAGGCAAAGCUUUUUUGUCACUGCCAUUAUGGCAUCUACUGACCCAAAUGCCCACUGUCACACAGGGGAGCAAACUAUUAUUGGAGAAUAAUUACUGCUGUGAUGUCAUGCAAUUAACUUGAAUCACUUUUGCUGGCUGAAAGGUGGGAAGGGAGGUAGAGACAUUAAACAUUUCUUCCUUGUGCUGCUGUUUUGCAGACUUGCAGUACAUGAGGAGAGAAAGCGAUUAAGUCAAAUUUGGACUGACAGUGCAUGUAAAUUAUAUGUUUAGCACAGAAACGUGCACCAUUGUGAAUGCCAUGUUCAAACUCUAUGCUAACCCUGUAUGUGAUAGACAGCACCAAGGGUCAAGUGUUUAAAUAACCAUCUGCAGAAAUAUAAUUUUUAAGUUACAGAAGAAAUAACAAUCUUAUCAGUCCUGAAACUGAAGGAAAAUUUCUAUCAAUAACCACAAAGAGACAGUUUCUCUACUCCAGUUAAGAAAAAAAAAAAAA
Molecule: long non-coding RNA, 2404 nt
Organism: Taeniopygia guttata (zebra finch)
Lineage: Eukaryota; Metazoa; Chordata; Aves; Passeriformes; Estrildidae
Source: Ensembl